GAGUAUUGCUAACUGACUACAAUUUGACGUCUUUCGUUCGCCGCCUCUGACGCCGACGAAAGCCACCGCGGAAGAUCAACAAACGGAUGUCGCCGUCACAGUUUUCCUCACUGCCUAACGACAUAGCGUGGCAAGUCUUAGCCCGCGUGCCGAAAUGCAAAUACCCACUCCUCGCUUGCGUCUCCAAGAACUUCACUUGUCUUGUUCAGUUGCCGGAGAUUCACAAGAUUCGCUCUCUCCUCCGCAAAGAUUCCCUCUACAUCUCCUUCAGGAACAAAAACGAUCGCGCCCAGAACCCGCGUUGGUACACUCUGCGCAGAGCGGAGAACAAUCCGAGCGAGAACCAGUUCGUCGUCUCCGUCAACCCCGCGCUUCCUAACCAUUACCACCGCAUGCCCUCGAUCGUCGCUCACGGUCCGGAGAUUUUCUUUAUCUGCGGCCCGUUCUUUCAGUCGCCAAGCUUUUGGGUCUUUGAUUCUCGAACCGACGAGCUUCGACGAGGACCAACCAUGAACGCGAACCGAACGUACAAAAGCGUGGGAGUAGUCGGGCGCAAGCUAUACGUGGUCGGAGGAGUAAGAUCUAACGAGAAUGUCGCCGAGUCAUUUGACCUAGCGACGGAAACUUGGGAGCCAGCGCCGAUCCCUAAGGAAGAAAAGACGUGGCACGCGUCUGCCACGGUGUCAUUAGACAGGAAGGUGUGUGCGUUAAUGCUCGUUGGAGCCUACGCUGUUUGCUACGAUCCUUGGGAUGGUUCUUGCCAGAGUUUUGCUUUGCCUAAGGAUAAGUGGUGGAAAACGGGUGUUUGUGGGAUGGAGAAUGUGCUCUACGUUUAUUACGCUAGGUUCGGGCUGAUGUGGUAUGACACUGAGCUGAGGGUAUGGAGAGUGGUGAAUGGUUUGAGUGAUGUCAAAAAGGUUCGAUCCGUUGGGAUGGCGGAAUACUAUGGAAAGGUGGCGCUUUUGUGGAAAGAACAUGGUGGUUGUGGAAAGGAGAUCUGGUGUAGAAUGAUUGCUAUGGGUAAGUGUGAAGAAGUGGUCAAGGGGACUGCAGAAUCGGCUCAACUUCUGGGGAGUGUCCCUGAUGGCUACAGAAUGGAUCAUUGUCUAUCAGUUUCAGAUUAAAGAAGAUAGAUUGAGCUAAUUAUUUUGAUGUGUGGGCUAUGCUAUUCUGUUUACUAAUACUUUUGCCAUCGUUGUACAAAAGCAUGUGGUGCUUGCACAUGUGUUAUGUUGUUUCCAGUUUAAAACAGGCCGGGGAACCAGACAAUGAAUUCAUUUGAAUAUCAAUGAGUUUGUAUUUUCAGUUUGAUUGUUGUAUAGAUUCUCGGAUUCUCCUAGGUAUUUUCAGCAGUAGUAGCAUACGUGAGAUGAUUGGUGAUAAUAAUGAUUUUUUGUGCAGUCAAGACGUGUGGGUGAUGGCUAAAUAUACAGUUACUGUUCUUUGUAAGUUUGACCCUGCUCAAUGAACCUUCUCUUGGGAUUCAUUUUUUCAAUUUUUUAUUAUUAAUUUUUUUUUUUUUGAUUUUUCUAGACCAAUCGCGGGCCGCCACGACAUAUGGGAUCCGCGCUACAAUGAUGAACUUUAGAAGAGAGGGGUUCAGCCAAGAGAGCUUUAGGAGAGAGGAAUUCAUGUGAUUGAGUUAUUUUAUUAUUUUUUUUUUGAUUUCUGUGUAAACUUUCCCCAUAAAUGGGGGUGCUCUCAUAUUUAUUAUGGGCUUUGUCAUUAGGUGGGAAUUGUUGGAGCUCACAUGAUUAGGAUUUACAAGCAUUAAUUAGGGCUAGAAGUUUAUUAAAUGAAUAAAUUUUAUCCUUUCUGUGUUUUGUAUGGAAGCCAAGGUUAUUGACUUCUAUUAUCUGCAAAGACAAUUUGACAAACUUAUACUUUAACCAUGGGGUGUUCUGUGGUGCUCCUAAUGUCUGCAUAGAAAUAAAAUGGAAGGGAUUCUAAGAUGUCUAAAUCUAAGUAAUACGAAGAUCUGUUAUACAAUUAGUGAUUGUGAUAUAUUACAAAGGUUGAGUACAAAUUUUUUUCUCCGUAAGAUAUGUAAAACAAAGUUUAACCUAAAAAUUGCUGAAAACUCAAAAUUACGUCACUACGUAAUUAAACCAAAAAUAUGGAAAAAAAUGUUCUUUUUUCUUUUAUUGAAAUGACAGACAUAUCAGAUUUCAGUAUAACACAUAUAACUUUUAAUUAGACCGUUGAAUUGAUCUCAAAGAAAUUGCACUUGAAAGUUACUCAAUUUUCUUGUGAAGCUCUAUCCACCUUUUCCUUAUGUUAAACUUUUGACAUAUUUGCACAAUUUUGCAUCUUUGAUUGUUAGUUUGCUGUCAAUUCAAUUCCUUUUGUUUCAAAUUGACCUAAAAUUGAUAAAGGACUAAAAUAUUUUAUAAGGCGCAGACUUGAUAAAAAUUCAAAACAAAGGUUAGAAACCGGUAAAACAUAUUAGUUUGUCAAUUCUUUUAGAAUUAGACUUUUAUAUGUCCUUAAACAAACAUCGAAUCAAGAAUAAGAAAGAGGUUUCAAAAAUAGGAACUCGCAUAUCAUUCAGAACACCAGUUUUACCAUUGACAAUUGUAAGUAUAUGAUAAUAUUAAAUUUUACAAGAUACAUUAAUUGGUUAAUUAAUUUAACACAAAUUAUAUCAUUCAUAUAAAUUUCAUAUACUUAUUAUAUAUAUAUUGUUAGAACUUAGUUAAACUAUAUAUAAUCAUAUUGAAGUAUAAGGUUGUUUGUUAAUUAUAUUAUAAUAGAAAAAAAUAGAUUCAUGUAUGAUAAUAGUCAAGUGAUUUGGCUAUUCUAUAAUACUUAACAAAUAAAUUUGAAAUGCGUAAUAGGCUAUAUUUAAUAUGCUAAUAUUUAUGUUGUAUUUAAAUAAAUUUAUUUUUCGAAUCACAAGUACAAUUAACAUAGUUGUUUUAGGUUAUAUUUUCUAGGUUAUAUUUUACAUUUGCUAGAAUUGAAUCUAUAUACAUCACAUUUUCUUACCAAUCAAAUUAUAAUUUUUUUAAAAGAGUACCCACAUAAACUCUCUCACAAAUAAGCGUAUGUUGCUCCGGCGUCCGGCCAGCGCGUGCGCGUGCACGCUACCGUCGGCGCCGGAGGCUUCCUUUCUCCCUCAUCUUUGUUUUACUUUUGUUUCACCAUCAUUCUCUCACUUUCCCGACUGUUAGACGUAGGUCCUGGUUUGAGAUUCUUCAUUCGGGCGCGACUUCCAUGCACAAGGGAAUCAAUCUGGUGUCGGUUUGUUCUUUCUGGUUCCGAAGCGAGGUCGGUGGAUAAGGGUGGUCGGAGCCGGCGUUUUAGGGUUAAAGGAGUAGAUCUUGUUUUCAAUCUUAGAUAUGCUCUAUGUUUUGUCGCUUUUUGCGGUCGGUUGCAGGUUCGGCUUCUCCUCAGAGUCUCUGGUCUCUGGUCUUGGUGGAGUCGUUCGGCUUCGGCGGUGGUCUUUGGUUUGCUUUGCGGCGUUGUGCAGUGAACGGAGUCCAGUCUCUGCUGUCAGGUGAGCUCCGGUGCUUUCCUCUAACACGGAGACGAUUCAUGGGUCAGGUUAUGCAGGCGGAGUUGGUAACUUGGCUUAGUGGUAUGGCUCGUGUGGGUUCGUGAGUUUAUCUAAGGGUUGUCGUCUAUGGCUACUCCACGUCUGCUCGCUGCACACAUCACCUUGAAUCUCCAUGAUUUGUCUCUCUCCAGAAUCUCUGGGAUCGAGGACGGUCUGGUUCUCGGAGGUGUCUCUUGGUUCGUCAUGUUUGCUCCUCUCCAUUGUGGGAGAUUAGCUUCUCUAGUCUCAAGCUACUGUUGUAUGGUUCUCGUGUGGCGACAAGCGUUGUGAGGUUGAGGAACUGUCGUUAGUCUCGGUGUCAGUGCUUGGCUAUAUCACCCAUCCCAGUGCCUAAGCUGCUCAUUUGAUCAUCUUGGAUAGGGUGAUUAACUACUUUUGUGCAGGUUCAGAGACUGUUUGUUCAGAGUUCAGUGGCAAUCUCUACCCGGUUUUUCGCCGUUUGGCGUUUGGGGGUGAUGUACUUCGUGCUCUCUUCUCGUCUCCAGUCUAAUAAAUGCUCAGUUUAGUUGAUGCGGGUGUGCUUGGCCGCUAUGGUUUUGUGUGAAGGUGCUAUGAAGCCCUUGGCAACCUAUUCUCAGAUGGACCAUUAUCUUUAAGAGUGGAUUCAUCGGGAAAACCAAAAUUACCGGAUUCUAGCUCUCGAUCGAACUUAGCUAAUAUUUUUGCGGCAAACAGAUGGUGUGGAAUUGGUCGAGCUUUUCGAUAGCGGUUCUGGUUUUUGUGUCAACCUCUGUUAAAGCUAGUUUGAGUUUGUGUUUUGUUUUAAAUUUUGUUUCUCUGAUUCUUGUUAUACUUUGUAGUUCUGUCAAAAACUAAAACUUGAUAAUAAUAUCUUAACAUUUUUACAAAAAAAAAAAUUAAAUACUUUUUAACUAAUCAUAUUCUUAAUUAAUAGAAUGACUGUACCGAUGUCAUUAUUUAAUAAGCUCUGAGUAGCGACGAAAUCUAAUCUCUACCAAAUUAAACUAAUUAAUAGAUAUUUUUAUCUAGCAUAUUUAUGUGACACCCGUCACUUCUUAUCUGGAGAGCAGCGUGCCACCAACAAUAUCACGUAUAAUAAAAGCCCAUAUACCCAAUUACACUCACCCAAAGCCCAAAUAAAAAAAAUCCGAAUAAAAAGCCCAGUAGCACCAAUUCCGUCCAAAUAUCAUAUACUCGUCUGUCUCACCUGAAAUGGGGAAGAAAGAGGGAUGAAUAACAGGGGAGUCACUCAGUGAGGUAUGGGAUGCUAUCCCGAAGUCCGUAGACCCGGACAUAGCACUCUGAAUAAAUAUAAUUUACCCUAAUACAUGUCAAACACGGUACCUAAAGCAUCCAAGAAACAAACAAUGGUCCUAGCGACCUGCCCACUGAUAGGCCAAAAAUACCCCCGAAAAAAUGCUCGGUCACACAGGCCCGUAGACGAUUUAUCGACCUACAGGCUACGAUCAACAGGUCGACUAUAGCUGACCGUAACCUCUAUACAAUCCGGGCUACAGAUAAACACCUCUCUGUACCCGGCACCCGACAUACAGAUAAAGACCUCUCUGUAUCCGGCACAAACACAUCAAAAUAUAUAUACUAUAUAUACAUGAAUAUAUCAAAUUAAUUCACACAAGCUACGUUGAAUCAUCUGAUUUCUUAUUUCCGAUUUAAGCAAAGAACCUAAAAACUAAACAAGCAAUGACAGACUCGAUUUCAGACAGACGCAACAUAUUAGAAAUAAAUUAUACUUAUUCAAGGUCCUAAGCCAUAUAUGAAAAGUUCGGGAAUAGACCCUCACCUUAGCCAAAAUUGGAGAUGAAUCACAAAAAUGAUCCAAGAUCUCGUCCAACAAGACUCAGUCCAACUUUAGAAUUAAUUACUUGAGAUACAAGUAACACUAAAGUUGCAUGAUUGCAUCCUGCGCGCAUGUGCAUGAAUAAGGUUUACGUUAUAUAUUUUUCUUGCAACACAAGGACCAAUAACAAUGGUACUUAACCUCACGGCUUAAGCUUCUCGGACUCCGUCGACGGAAGCUGUGACUCAGGUGGCUCACGGUUCAUAAUGGUGUUGAUCGGUGUUGGUAGUGUCGAGACGCUGACGGAUCUGGUUUCACUCUCUUUCUUAGUCUCCGCCUGUUCACGUUAUUGAACAAAAGCAUGGUAAUAUCGAUGGAUCUAUUGCAACAAGAUUAUGACAGUGGCAUGACGACGGCUCCGGUGUUGAUAGUGAAGAUGAUGACUCCGGUGGUGGGACACGGCUUGAUAAUGGUGGCUGGAUCAAACUCCGGUGAUCACGGCAACGGUCCCGAUGGUGCUGGCACGGUGAUGCGACAAUGCAAGCUGACACUCCGGUGAUGAACCGAUCACAUCCUUAGAGAUUGGCGCUGGUGGUGAUAAAACGUGACGGCUCUCUCUCUAACCCACGAUGCGUUUUUUUAUUUGGUUUGAGAAGGAGAUAUAUACACAUGCAUAUAUAGCACGGUUUAAGAAAUGGUCUGGUACAAUUAAUUAACAAAUGAAUCACACCGGUUUGGGUGAACCGGGUCGUUACAAUUCUUCCCCACUUAAUUGGAAUUCGUCCUCGAAUUCAAGUCUCUAUACUCGUCUACUAGUUUUAUUUUCCAAAAUAAAAUUUCAAUAUUCAAUCCUCAUCUUAGACUCGGUCUCUCAAGUUUCCUCUUGGAUCUUAUCUCUUUCUUAUUGAACUUUGAUCAAUAUGGUCAUCAUUUCUGAACUGCUUCCACUUGUUGAUUUGUAAUCUCCACAGACUCGAUGAGUGUAGACAAUUUUUUUUUUUUUAAAGAUCACUUGGUGGCUGCUGUAAAAUAAGUUUUGGCCCUCGCACAACCUUCCUCAAUACUGACACAUGGAACUCAUCGUGAAAGUUUGACAACUCUGCUGAUAACUGCAAUCUAUAAGCCACAACUCCAAUCUGCUCCACAAUAAGGUACAGUCUCAUAUAUCUUGGCUUAAGCUUCCUUAGCUCUCGAGUCUUAGAUCCUCUCUGAAAUGUCUUCAUUUUCAGGUACACUAAAUUAUCCAAUUAAACUUCCAAGUCUCUCGAGCAUUAACUGCAUUUUUUUUUGUUUUUUUAGCCAUCAACUUCCUUAAGGUGGUUAUUGAGCAUUGUCUAUUUGCUUCAACGUCCAUUAAACCAUUGGUUGCUAUACGUCCUAGUGCUUCCCCGGGUCUAGCAUGUGUGUGAAUGAUCUUCCAUAAAAAGCCUCCGAAAGUGAUAUAUGAAUGCUCCAGUGAUAAUUGUUGUUGUACAUGAACUAUUCCAGCGGUAGAUGUUUUUCUCAAUUUUUUUUCUCCGUGAGCUAAGGACAAAACCCAAGGAUGCCCUUUCGAGUUUAACUUAGCGAGACGGUCCAUGAUCGAUCAUACAUUAUUCUUCAUGAAACUUGACUUCCAUAGUCCAAUGAGGAAACCAACAAUCAACAUAUCUCAUUUCCAAUCUGGAAGAAGUAGAUGGUGUAGUAAUCCCAUAAAUAAUUGAUGUUCUGCUUUAACCAUCUAACAAGUCUGACAUAGACACAAUGUAGUUACAUCUUCCUAUUUUUUUUUCUGCCAGAAACUACACUUACUCAGCUAGCAACAACUGAUGCUUUCCAAGCUUACCUAACACAAUCUGUAAAUGCUCAGCAUGCUCUUCUCUGCUCCGAGAAUGAAUCAGGAUGUAGUCGAUGAAUACAAUUGCGCACUUAUCUAAGUGUUCUCAAAAACGUCACUCAUAAGCUUCACGAAUGCUAACGGUGCAUUCGUCAAGCUAAUGGGUAACAUUAUAACUCAUAAUAUCCAUAACAUAUACAAAAAUCCACAUCGGUAGAUACUCCUCAGGUAUAACAAUCUGAUGGUAUUCUGAUGCAAGUCAACCUUCAAGAACUAUGUACCUCCUGUAGGUAAUCCAACAACUCAUCAAUACGCGGAAACAAUACUUAUCCUUUGGUCACUUUGUUCAGACCUCUGUAGUCGAUACAAAUUCUGAAACUCUCAUAUUUCUUCUUCACAAAUAAUAAUGAUGCUCCUCACGAUGAAGUACUUGGUCUUGUAAAACCCUUGUUUGAUGAAUCUUUCAUAUGCUCUUUCCACUCGGUCAUCUCUGCUGGCGCUAAUUGGUAUAGAAAAUCGUGAAACCGGUGUCGUCCUUGACUCCAACUCGAUCGCAAGAACGUCUCCUCUAGCUGGCAGUGAUCCUUUUAAAGCCUCAAAUACAUCCUCAUACUUUGUAAUAUAUGAAAAUCCUGCAGCUCAUGAUGUCCAUCAUCCUUAACCAUCAAAAUGUUCGCCAAAAAUCCAUUUACUCCUAUAUCCAAUAACUCCUCAGCAUGUAGCAUGUUGAUAAUACAACCUCUCAUCGGAUCCAUGAAUAAGAACUCUUUCCACUCAGGCAAAUCAACACUACCUGAUGUCAUGACAUCCAAUCCUUCUCAAGAAUGACAUCACAUAAACUCAGCUCCAUCUCUGAUGAAUCUCCGAAUAACUCGACUCCUCCAUGCAUAAAUGGUACAACUCGUACAUCAAUAGCUCUCAAUGUCCUAUGUUAGCUGUCCGAACUGACACACCUCUGAAACGGUCAACAAUGCCAAAAACUGGCAAGCAAAGCCAAGUGUAACUCCAAUAUCAACAUAACGCAAGCCGCUGCACCCUAAUUCAAAAGCGAUCUCCACGAGUUCACAAACCAAAUAUACCUCCAAUAUAGUCAAUAAACUUGUAUACACAACAACACAUGCCAACCAAUGGCUCAUACGUCACACCAUGUAAUCUCCAGUAACAAAAACUCGUGGCAAGAUUGCUUGAAGUAGGGUGGAAGCAGAAACGUCACAUAUCCACUCCUGGAUAAUCUCGGAAUCAUGACCGAAGAAACUGAUAACUUCUGAGAAAACUGACGAACUGAGGCAUCACCCAUCUGCUGUUGAACAUCUGGCUAGAACCCUGUUAGUCGAAAGAUGAAUGACGAUGACUUUACUCAUCGUCAUCGAAAGAGACAAUUGAGUUAGUAAUUACUGGACAAAAUGGUGCUAAAAGAACUUCGCAAACAUUUUUUUUUUAUUAUAUAUAUAUAUAAAUUAUUUUUAUACUUUUUUUUAAACGUAGAAAAACUGAAUCCCCUAAUCGUCAUCCCGGGACGGAACCCCGCUCUGAUACCAAAUUGUGACACCCGUCACCUCCUAUCUGGAGAACAGCGUGCCACCAACAAUAUCACGUAUAAUAAAAGCCCAUAUACCCAAUUACACUCACCCAAAGCCCAAAUAAAAAAUCCGAAUAAAAAGCCUAGUAGCACCAGUUCCGUCCAAAUAUCAUAUACUCGUCUGUCUCACCUGAAAUGGGGAAGAAAGAGGGGUGAAUAACAGGGGAGUCACUCAGUGAGGUAUGGGAUGCUAUCCCGAAGUCCGUAGACCCGGACAUAGCACUCUGAAUAAAUAUAUUUUAUCCUAAUACAUGCCAAACACGGUACCUAAAGCACCCAAGAAACAAACAAUGGUCCUAGCGACCUGCCCACUAACAGGCCAAAAAUACCCUCGAAAAAGUGCUCGGUCACACACGCCCGUAGACGAUUUAUCGACCUACAGGCUACGAUCAACAGGUCGACUAUAGCUGACCGUAACCUCUAUACAAUCCGGGCUACAGAUAAACACCUCUCUGUACCCGGCACCCGACAUACAGAUAAAGACCUCUCUGUAUCCGGCACAAACACAUCAAAAUAUAUAUACUAUAUAUAUACAUGAAUAUAUCAAAUUAAUUCACACAAGCAACGUUCAAUCAUCUGAUUUUUUAUUUCCGGUUUAAGCAAAGAACCUAAAAACUAAACAAGCAAUGACAGACUCGAUUUCAGAUAGACGAAACAUAUUAGAAAUAAAUUAUACUUAUUCAAAGUCCUAAGCCGUGUACGAGAAGUUCGGGAAUAGACCCUCACCUUAGCCAAAAUUGGAGAUGAAUCACAAAAAUGAUCCAAGAUCUCGUCCAACAAGACUCAGUCCAACUUUAGAAUUAAUUACUUGAAAUACAAGUAUCGCUAAAGUUGCAUGAUUGCAUCCUGCGCGCAUGUGCAUGAAUAAGGUUUACGUUAUAUAUUUUUCUUGCAACACAAGGACCAAUAACAAUGGUACUUAACCUCACGGCUUAAGCUUCUCGGACUCCGUCGACGGAAGCUGUGACUCAGGUGGCUCACGGUUCAUAAUGGUGUUGAUCGGUGUUGGUAGUGUCGAGACGCUGACGGAUCUGGUUUCAUUCUCUUUCUUAGUCUCCGCCUGUUCACGUUAUUGAACAAAAGCAUGGUAAUAUCGAUGGAUCUAUUGCAACAAGAUUAUGACAGUGGCAUGACGACGGCUCCGGUGUUGAUAGUGAAGAUGAUGACUCCGGUGGUGGGACACGGCUUGAUAAUGGUGGCUGGAUCAAACUGUAACACCCCAAAACCCAAACCCAAAAAGUUUUUGUGUUUUAAAAGGGAAGGCCCGUUCUGCAGCCCAUUAGGAUUAAAACCCUAGGGUUCCCUUGCCUUUCCCUAUAAAUACAAGCCUCCACCUCCCUUGUCUCUCAUCAGAAAUUCUAGAGCGAAGCUCUGCAGAAAAAUCCCGGAGACAGGAAGCCCUAGCCGUCGAAGAUCUCUCUCUCUCUCUCCCCGCGCUGCCUCUCCUUCUUUUCUCUCUCCUCACCGCAUCUCUCUUCUCUCUCUCUCUCUCCUCGCCGUGAGCAGCCGCGAAUGGUGGUGGUGGCCGCGUGGUGUUGUAGAUCUCAGAUCCCGUUUCUCACACCUCUUAUUUUUAGAUCCAGAUCCGGAUCUAGGCUAAGAACUAUAAGUGGAAAUGUCGACGGUAAGAAAGGAAACGCACCUGAAACUUAUGGGACCAGAAACGGGACACACGGAGAUGUCGGGAAAAGUAGACAUGUGUGUCCUAAACCCCGCGCCCUGGAACCCCGGUUGGAAAUGGGGAGGGACGGGUGUUUCAAUUGGUAUCAGAGCCAGGUUAAGGUCCCUUAAUACUAACUUAAGGGAUCAACGUUUCCGAUAUUGCCCAUUUCCCUUAUGGUUCUGAUAGACCGUCAUAGCUAAUGCUGAAGGAGUAUACGAACAACUCAGAGUCUCCGGCCAAGAUCAGAUCAACAAAAAGUCCUCGUACCGCGGUGUAGUGGAGUUUCAGAGGUUCAGGAAUGGGUAACAAGGAGUGGUAAGGCAAGUAUACAGAGGGAUUAAUUGCCUAGCACGACAAGUUAAGGGGGAAUGGAAAGUCGGACAUACGAGCUGGAGGGAAACGUUUUGUCGGCGACACUACCCCACACCGGGCCGGGAAGGCCGGGGAAGGAGAGUCGGACGCAGGGCGGAGGCAAGCGCAGCUUCACGGAGGAGAUAUCCCGGCAAAGAAAUAGCAUAAUGUCAUUCAGAUAUCAAAGUGAAGCUUGUUCCCAAUAUAAAAAAAAAAAAAAGAGCAUGGGCGCGGGCCCUACCACCUUGGAGUGGGCCCGCCUAAGAGGAAGGAGCAAAACCGGGGCGGCCAAGGGACGAUCGGAUGGGCAGAAGAAGGGGAACCGAUUUCAGAUUGUGAUAAUUAAGCUAAGGAUCAUCUUGGGGUAAAAAAAGAUGAUGGAGGGUCAUUUUGGAGCAAAUGCGAAAUGCUAAUAAGGAUAUGGGAUCUUCAUAGGGUAAAAAGGUUCAUGGUAAUAAGGAUCAUUGUGGGGUAAAAAGAUCGUCUUGGAGUAAAAAGGAUGAUGGAGUAUCACCAUGUAGCAAAAAUGUUGAUGCUAACAAGGACGAGGAGGGAAUGAAGUUCGUGGAGCAGCCGAACGUCCACAUCGGGAGACAUCCGUGAGGCGUCAAGUGCUGAUGCCCCAGUUCCAGAGAUCCAAGAGUGUAGGCGAAUGUACCAAGGCCAUGUGAUCUUCCAGUUCACGCCUGAAGUCGAAAUGACGCUGCCCAAGAUGGGCUAUGGGCACCCAAGGAAGUCAGGAUUGAUCGGGAAGGUCUUGGACCGUUUAGGAUGGAAGACAGUGUGCCAACGAGGAAACGUGGACGUCCGAGGAAGAUUCCUAGUAUUGAUGCAGACCGCCUAAGGAGCGUAACUGGGGUAUGUCGGUGUGGGACACUGAUGCAUGCUAAUCAAGGAACGCACUCAGUUCGGGAGUACACCGAGGAAUUCUUGGAGACAACUAAAAGAUGCAAGCCAAAGUCAGCGGAGGGUUGGUGCCAGGGGAUUAAGGCAGAGCUCCGCGAGGAAAUUCAGGGCAAGUUGCUUGGUGUGUUAGAACCAUGGGAAUGCGUUCUGAUGAACUAGAUAGCCGGUCAGGCAGUGGAGGUAGAAAGGGCACUUACCGUUGGGUCGUCGCCAUCUCAAGCUCUAAGGAAGAAAUGGAAGUGGAAGAGGAUCUGCGGAAGAGAUCGAUUAUGGAUGAAAGAACCUCGGGAGAAUGUACCGAGCCGUGCAAGUGUGAGAUCCUUGUUCAGAUAAUGCAUAGGCCUCGCCUGGUCCAAGAGUACACUAAGGAGUUCUUAGACAUGACCGAGAAAUGCAAGUCGAAGCCUGCGGAGAGGUAGUGCCGGGUUAUAAGGCGAGACUCCGUAGGAACAUUCGAGGAGAGCUGAAUGGAGCCAUGGAAUCUAUGGAAUUUGCCUUAGUGGUGAGGAUGACAGGGAAGGCGAUGGCAGCAAAGGCGUGGUUGUUAAACAUGUUAUUUAUGUCACAAGCGCUGAACCGAAAGAGGAUCCAUCGGAAGGUUAAAAUUAGGAGGAUUAUCUGGAACCGCCAGCUAGAGGUGUCCGAGUGUUUGGUUAUGAUUCGAGGCAGAAACGCACUUCUCCACUUUGUAGAGACUAAAUAAGAUUUCGGAAACAUCCAGUAUGAGUAGGAAUUAUGUUAUUCCUUAUUUAUCUGGGAGAUUUCGAAAGAAAAUCCUUAAGAAAAUAUUGUGUGCCUCCCUUGAAUGUGUUUGAACUCACCUCGGGUUUUGGAAUGUUAGUGUUCAAAGCCGGAAGAUUGGAAUUCGGGGCGAAUUCUGAUUAACAGGGGGAGAAUUGUAACACCCCAAAACCCAAACCCAAAAAGUUUUUGUGUUUUAAAAGGGAAGGCCCGUUCUGCAGCCCAUUAGGAUUAAAACCCUAGGGUUCCCUUGCCUUUCCCUAUAAAUACAAGCCUCCACCUCCCUUGUCUCUCAUCAGAAAUUCUAGAGCGAAGCUCUGCAGAAAAAUCCCGGAGACAGGAAGCCCUAGCCGUCGAAGAUCUCUCUCUCUCUCUCCCCGCGCUGCCUCUCCUUCUUUUCUCUCUCCUCACCGCAUCUCUCUUCUCUCUCUCUCUCUCCUCGCCGUGAGCAGCCGCGAAUGGUGGUGGUGGCCGCGUGGUGUUGUAGAUCUCAGAUCCCGUUUCUCACACCUCUUAUUUUUAGAUCCAGAUCCGGAUCUAGGCUAAGGUGAGGUGUUCUACCCAGAUCUCUUUCAUGUUCUUUUAUAUUGUUGAAUGUGGAUCUAGGAUUGAGUAGAUCCUGGUUGUUGUUAGGUUGAUAGACCAUGUUGCAUUAGAACUCUCGUACUGAUUUAAGAUUCUAAAUAAACUGAUUGAUUGUUUGAUUGAUUGAAGAUCCGUGGUUGUGAUUGAGAGCUAGGAUGGUUAGAAAGAAAUGAACGUAGGAUAAUAAGAGAACUGUUAACCGGUCUGGUUAGAUGAAUGAUAGGAUACCUAUGAAUGAUUGCUGAAUGGAUUGAGUGUGACACCGAGAACGGGUGGCGUCUAAAAAAAAAAAGUAAGAAAGAGUCUAAGGGUUUAAGGAAAAAGGAAAUGAUAAGAAAAAGGAAAAG
Brassica rapa (field mustard) is the source of this 13306-nucleotide RNA transcript. It is a transcript of the gene named F-box/kelch-repeat protein At2g44700, with no coding region annotated. The record is from RefSeq and is a predicted model, not a curated record. Lineage: Eukaryota; Viridiplantae; Streptophyta; Magnoliopsida; Brassicales; Brassicaceae.